Molecule: ribosomal RNA, 253 nt
Filed under: uncultured bacterium
Lineage: Bacteria
Description: partial 16S ribosomal RNA
Rfam family: Bacterial small subunit ribosomal RNA
Source: RNAcentral
UACGUAGGGUGCAAGCGUUGUCCGGAAUUAUUGGGCGUAAAGAGCUCGUAGGCGGUGUGUCAAGUCAGGCGUGAAAGCCCCGGGCUCAACCUGGGAACAGCGCUUGAGACUGGCACGCUCGAGUUCGGGAGAGGAUGGUGGAAUUCCCAGUGUAGAGGUGAAAUUCGUAGAUAUUGGGAAGAACACCGAUGGCGAAGGCAGCCAUCUGGACCGACACUGACGCUGAGGCGCGAAAGCGUGGGGAGCAAACAGG